CAGCAACAGCAAUGGCACAAUCUGUAGAGAACAAUAUUUCAACAAAAUAUCAGUGCACUGGGAAAAAAACACACAAAAAAAAACACAUGCAUACACUGAUAUUAAGGUAUGAAAGGCCACGUGCCAAAAUAAUAGUACUAAUAGUUCUUAUGAUAAUAAUUAUAGAUUAUACAGAUGAAAUUAAAGAUAAUUAUACUAAUAAUACUAAUGAUCUAUGAUUUGCCGCCUGUCCAUUUGGUCAUGUUCUCUCUUUCAAAACAUUUUUUACAUGGUUUUACUUAGAGGAAUCUCCCUGUUACAACACCACUUGCAGCAAUGUUUUCCUUUCCCUAUCUCCAGAUCUCUAGUCUUGCUUCCUCAUCAGGAAUCUUUUUCCUGUCUACAUAUUUUUAAAAGGUUCUUAAAAUAAUCCUCUUAGUUUAGUGCAGUUGUUUUUGAUUUUGUACUUAGACCUGUUUUCUCUUUGAGAUUGCUCAGCUGAGUUUGGACAUUAAACUUAAACGUUGAGUUUUUAGGAGUGGCUUGCGAAACAGGAAUUUCAGGAUAAUGAUUUUUACAAGGAACUAGAGAGAGAGAACUUGCAUUAUUUUUGCAGUCUGUGGUUCCAUAACCUCGACCAACAAUGAAAUGAGGAUAAUUAUUACUACUGAAUUUCUUCUGUUUUGUGUGGAAUUUCUGAACUGCAACCAUAACAAAGACAAUGAGGUCUGGAAUGCAGCUGGUGUUUAGGAUUGGACUUGGAACCAUGUCAGCUGUUUCAGUAAUGUUACACAUUAAUAACACAUCUGCAAACCUGUACACACAAAAAGUGAAGAAAACAUCUAUAUUUUUUUCUGAACUGUGGAUUACUAUGCUGUUUGGAUGAAGAAAACUGUGGCCUGUACUUGUCUGAGAAUGGACACCAGCUUGGAACACAGCUGGUGGUCUAAUGGAGGGCUGGACUUGAAACCCAGUCAGCAGUUUACUUAAGCCUGAAGUUCUUCCAGUAAGGUUAAGCAACUCAGCUGUAUAACACAGAACUGCAAACCUGAACACAAAAGCUGAAUAAAAUCACAUAUAUAUAUUUAUAUAUAUAUAUUUAUUUUAUUUAUUAUUUUUUUCUAACUGUGGAUUACUGUGCUGUUUGGAUGAAGAAAACUGGCCUGUGCUUGUCUAAAAUGGACAUCAGCUUGUUGGAAUCAUUCUGUUUGUGUACUCGAACAUCAAACUGACAUUAGGAGCAUCUGUUGUCUUGCAAUGCAAUGGGACGAGACAGAACGAUGGACAGUUCCUCUUUGUCAUUUUGUAUAGAGUACUUCAGUGACUGCGAGAAACAAUGGCUUGUCAAUAUAUCUUGAGUGUCUGCUCUCCUGCCCCACUGGCAAAAUCAAUGAAAAGCAGCUGUGCUCUUGAACACAGCUGGUGGUCUAAUGGAGGGCUGGACUUGGAACCCAGUCAGCAGUUUACUUAAGCUUGAAGUUCUUCCAGUAAGGUUAAGCAACUCAGCUGUAUAACACAGAACUGCAAACUUGAACAUAAAAUGUGAAUAAAAUCAUCUAUAUUUAAUUAUUUAUUUAUUUUUUCUGAACUGUGGAUUACUAUGCUGUUUGGAUGAAGAAAACUGGCCUGUACUUGUCUGAAAAUGGACACCAGCUUGUGAGGAUGGAGAGACAUCAUAAAGUUGCAUGGACCACCUUCAAAUUGAAUACAAUAUGUUUUUGAUUUACGCUGUAAAUAUGACUAUGUAACUAGUACUUGGAGUAUGAUAUAUCUUUUCUCCUUUUGGAAGACUUCAAUGUUGAGGUGAAUAUUGGCAUGCUUUGUAAAAUGAUCUGAGGCAUAGAAAAGUAAGUUAAUUAGACUGCAGGGUUUAAGUGCUUUCAUGGCAGAGGUUUUGUACUGAUGCUACUAAGAUAAGAUAGUAAUGGAGUAUUACAAAUGCAUAAAUGCAUGCAACUUAGCUGACACUGCAUCAAUAAAUCAAUCCUAUUGGCUUUCACAUUAUAUGACAUUCUUAGAAUACAAGAGGUAUAUACAUGAUGAAUUUACAAGCUUUAUAUUCAGCACUGACAAGUGGAAGAGACCCACGUAAAUUUUUUUUCCCUUUUGCAACAUUGGCAGUAUUAGCCAAAAUUAGGUUCAGUUUAAAGCAGCAUGACUACUAAUAAUGCAAUAAUCACAGACAGUGAAGUCUUUACGUAUUCUUGUACUGUGAACUGUAAGCUGAAAAGUAUCUUAUUAGAGGUUUUGUUUCAGAACAUUAUGGUAAUUGAUAACUUAGAAAAUGAAGAUGCACUUACUAAGGACUCUGGGAAAAUGUACUGAAUAUUUAUAUUAUUAUAUUAAAUAAUUAUAUUACUUAAUCUAAUUGUAAAUGUAUAAAACAUUUAUUUAUGUUAAUAUUACAAAUACUAUAAUAUAAAGUGUUCUCUUCAGCUGCUGUUUUUUUUUUAAAUCUAAGGUGUAGAAAAAUAAAUCAGAUACACAUUUAAAAUAUUUGUAUAGUUUUUUAUUAACGAAAGAAAGAAGUCAUUACAAAGAGUAUAGUAAUUCUGUGCAAUACAAUAGCUAAGCAAAUAUUAUUAAACAUGAUUUAUGACAUGACAGUAUAAUGCUUUAAACAUACAUUUUUUUCAAGUAUAGCAGUGCCCACUUACUUUCCCACAAAGUGACAGUGAACACUGUAUGAAUAUAAAUCAAUGGAUACAAUACAGGGAGUAAAGAACUUUAUCAGCAGAUAGCAUAGCACAUAGUGACUAUUAAUACAUGUAUAUCAUGUAGUUCUUGUAGAUUUACUACAUUAGCUUUUUUUGUGUUUUUUUUUUUUUUUAACACACCUUAAUAUUUGAGGCCAGAUCUGAAGCAGUGGCAGGUGCUGAGUGGAUUUCAUUAGUAAUAUAUUAGAUGUGUGUACUCACUGGCACAGCAUUUCAUUUCAUUUUGCUUCCACAGCAGCAGUUUACAGGAAAUACUUGCCCUGGACGUACAGUUACUUUUAUGUUCACACACAUUUUAUGCUCACUAUGAUGCCAUGCAAUCCAAAUGCAAGACUGAUUAGACCAGUGAUAGAUAUAUUAAUAAUACAAAUAAUAUAAUUAAAUGUAUAUACUAUAAAAUAAAUAUAUUAAGUUGUAUAUAUUGUAUUUUACAAU
This is a long non-coding RNA of Cyprinus carpio (common carp), 3131 nucleotides long. RefSeq lists it as uncharacterized. Lineage: Eukaryota; Metazoa; Chordata; Actinopteri; Cypriniformes; Cyprinidae. The transcript has 8 exons. The record is from RefSeq and is a predicted model, not a curated record.